CCUACGGGAGGCAGCAGUGGGGAAUAUUGCACAAUGGGGGAAACCCUGAUGCAGCGACGCCGCGUGAGUGAUGAAGUAUUUCGGUAUGUAAAGCUCUAUCAGCAGGGAAGUAAAUGACGGUACCUGACUAAGAAUCCACGGCUAACUACGUUCCGGCAGCCGCGGUAAUACGAAGGGGGCAAGCGUUAUCCGGAUUUACUGGGUGUAAAGGGAACGUAGACGGCUAAUCAAGUCAGUAGUGAAAACCCAGGGCUCAACUUUGGGACUGCAUUUGAAACUGUUGGUCUUGAGUAUCGGAGAGGCAGGCGGAAUUCCUGGUGUAGCGGUGAAAUGCGUAGAUAUUAGGAGGAACACCAGUGGCGAAGGCGGCCUGCUGGACGACAACUGACGGUGAGGCGCGAAAGCGUGGGGAGCAAACAGGAUUAGAUACCCGGGUAGUC
This 440-nucleotide ribosomal RNA is filed under the name uncultured bacterium. RNAcentral's name for it is "partial 16S ribosomal RNA". It matches the Rfam family "Bacterial small subunit ribosomal RNA", at positions 338 to 795 of the family's 1533-position model. The record is from RNAcentral.